AGGUGCAAUCAUAGAAGACACUUUAUUGAUGGGUGCAGAUUAUUAUGAGACGGACGCCGACCGUAGAUUAUUGGCGGCAAAGGGUAGUGUACCAAUUGGAAUUGGUAGAAACUCUCACAUCAAGAGAGCUAUCAUUGACAAAAAUGCUCGCAUCGGGGAGGAUGUCAAGAUUGUGAAUGGAGACAAUGUUCAAGAAGCUGCAAGAGAGACAGAUGGUUACUUCAUAAAGAGUGGAAUUGUGACAGUAAUCAAGGAUGCUUUGAUUCCCAGUGGCACCGUCAUCUAAAGCCCACCACAACACAACACAACACAACACA
Molecule: unclassified non-coding RNA, 317 nt
Filed under: Hevea brasiliensis (rubber tree)
Lineage: Eukaryota; Viridiplantae; Streptophyta; Magnoliopsida; Malpighiales; Euphorbiaceae
Source: RNAcentral